GUGAGUCAUCGAAUCUUUGAACGCAUAUUGCGCCUUCCGGUAUUCCGGAAGGCAUGCCUGUUCGAGCGUCAUAUCAACCUCUCAAGCAUGAAUCUUGUUCCUCUGCUUGGUAUUGGUCAAGGAUUGAGCCUGGCUUCUUCCUGUCCGAAAUACAAUGGCGAAGUUAUGCAUUCUAUUCAGUGUAGUAAUCAACAUUAUGUUUCACUGCUGGAUGUACGAUGCUUCCGUCACAAGUUAGCUCCCCUAUUCCAAAUGUUUGACCUCGGAUCAGGUAGGGAUACCCGCUGAACUUAAGCAUAUCAAUAAGCGGAGGA
This 314-nucleotide unclassified non-coding RNA is filed under the name Pyronemataceae sp. RNAcentral's name for it is "partial contains 5.8S ribosomal RNA, internal transcribed spacer 2, and large subunit ribosomal RNA". The stretch from base 1 to 71 matches the Rfam family "5.8S ribosomal RNA", at positions 84 to 154 of the family's 154-position model. Lineage: Eukaryota; Fungi; Ascomycota; Pezizomycetes; Pezizales; Pyronemataceae. The record is from RNAcentral.